AGAGACUAAAAAUACAAGGCUUCUAUGGGAUCUUUCAAAUGCCUCACCCUCUUGAUGGCUACUAUCUUCUAGGACGCUGUGGGAUGGCUAAAGAAAUUGAGAAUAAAAAGUUCAGACCCAAUACUCUACUGGCUAAAUCGUCACCAAUGUCUUAUCGAGAGCAUUGUUCAGGACUAGAACCCAGAGUCAGCAAAGAUAAAAAAUGAACAAAGUCGGUGACGAUGCAGGCCGUGAGAGAUUGAGCACAAAAACGAUAAACCCAUCAUGCUCUCAACCCAUAUCGUGGUCCUUUGCAUUGGAAUCUACGCCAUGAGAAAUCCUUUGCCUUGUGAUCAUCCGCGAACGUGGAAGGGUGUGUGCGGGACAAGCAUCAAUCUGAUUCUUAGGUUCAAUUUGGUUUCGUGGUGAAUAUGGUUCGAAGAGGAUGGACAUUUGAUUCUGAAGAGGAUGAAGGGCAGGGCGAAGUGGAGAUUUCGAUUUCAAAUAUAGGUUGUGUUCUCAGACUUGGGUCAUGUUCUCAAUCUGUAAAUGGGGAUUCGAUUUCGAAGAAGAGUGAGAGGAAUAUGCCCUGAAGUUGUGUUCUCAACCUGGCUUGCUUGUUUGAUAUGGUUUUUUAUUUUUUCUUGUUUGAUCCAGAUUCUUGUUUUUUCUUCUUUUGGUACUUUUUUUGUGAAUGGUGAUCUAACAUGUUCUAGAUUUUCAUUUUUGAUGUCCUGAUUUUCUUUUUUGAUAUUUGCAAUCGGAUACAUAGCAUCAUUUUAUUCGUGUUAAAGUUUGAUCGACGUUGAUGUCCUGAUGUUCGAGUUUGAUGUUAUUAAAUCCAAAGUCCACAAGAUUCUUCCCCUGUU
This is a long non-coding RNA of Prosopis cineraria, 848 nucleotides long. RefSeq lists it as uncharacterized. The record is from RefSeq and is a predicted model, not a curated record. The transcript has 2 exons. Lineage: Eukaryota; Viridiplantae; Streptophyta; Magnoliopsida; Fabales; Fabaceae.